This is a long non-coding RNA of Populus trichocarpa (black cottonwood), 2030 nucleotides long. RefSeq lists it as uncharacterized. The record is from RefSeq and is a predicted model, not a curated record. Lineage: Eukaryota; Viridiplantae; Streptophyta; Magnoliopsida; Malpighiales; Salicaceae. The transcript has 2 exons.
AUCCCCCCCUCUCUAUAGAUAUAUGUCGUUUUUGUUUAUUUUCUUGGUUAAUUGAUUGCCCAAACUGGUAUACGCAUGUUAAGCUAAUGCUAAAAAGAUACUGAGAUUCUCUUUGCCUUUUUUUUUAUGGAAUUAGUUAUUCUUUCAUUUAAUCAUUGCUUUCGCUGUUUGCUCAUGAACUUAUAGUUGAAACCACACAGACUUGCCAUGAAUUAUGUUGUUUGUCCAUGUCUCUUUCAAUAUACCCUUGAGUUAACACUGCGAUUAGGGUUUGGAUGUGGUUCUCAUUCACAUUCUUUAGCUAAAUCAACAUUACUAUGUUUUCUAGAGUGUUAACGUUGUUAGAUUACGCACUCUCUCUAAAGUGUGGAGGCACAGUAACUGCAAUUAGUUGCUGGCAUUUGUGCUUCUCCUGAUAGAUGCAAUCCAACCAGUACUUUAUCGAUCUUGAAUAAGAAUUCAGCCUAAAUCUCAAGUUGCUGACUAAACAAGUUUGUUUUAAUUUUGGUGCACACUGCGCCUUUUCUCACCCUGCCACCCGAGUUGUGAUGGAACGUUGUUCUUGCUGUCUGCUCUGCCACAAGAAGGUAGAUAAAUGUUCUCUCCUUUCCAAGCUACCAUAGACACACUGAAAGCAUCUUUUUUGCACUGUGCAUGAGAGAGUGGGCUAAACUCUGUCCAGCUCUCAUUACAAGCUCCAACUUUCUUGCCACGAACUACCAACAUCUGUCGAUCCCAAAAGCCUCACGCAUGCUCACACGCAAGACAAGAUAUAUCAUGUCUUUACUUUGUUGUCGAAUGAGAAGACUUGAGGAUCUAAAUACGCCAUCAUCCAUUAUUAAUAUGAAUCACUGUUGGAGUAGCUCUCUGGGUUCUAGCAAGAGAGAUGGAGAGGAUGUGAAAUACUAAGGGGAAAUAACAACAAGGGUAAUGCCUAACAAUAUCAAGAAGAACCAAAUUCACUAAUUUUGGUUCCAGUAGAGAAGAUAGCCGAAGAAAGAAUUGAUAAAGGGAAAGAAAGCUGAUAUUUUAUUGCAGAAAAUAAAUUACAAGGAAAAGAGAACAAGUAGCCUCACAACACUCAAGAGAAUCACUCUCAUUUUGGAAUCACACCAAAGACUAUGAACUUCAUUACAAUCUAACCAACCCAGACAUACAUUCUAAAUUAAAUAGAAAUUCAUAUUACAGUUAUUACUAGAUAACUACCAACUAAGAUAAGAAUAAUGACAGUUAUAGUAACUUCUUCUGCCACUUGGAAGUAUGAGAUGAUCUUUAAUUAUUGGUUAUAACUUCCCCUUUCUUGCCAACGUGUACCACUGGAAUUGUAGCCUCCAUAGAAUGUACUCCUUCACUUGAAUUAGCUUGAUUCCUGUCGGUUAUUAUGGCCUUCUGCUUGCCUUGGACUUGAGUGCUGUUACUUUGGUUACCCGAACUUGCAUCAAAGGGCACAGUCCUGAGGUUAUUGAGUUAGCCUGAGAGAAUUUGAAAAAGAUAAAAAUUUACUAAUAUUAAGCAUAUCAAGAAAUUGAAUGAGCUGCUGUUCAACAGGUCGUAAGUAAUUUGAACUUGUGUUGUUGUGCUGGGUUAGGACUUGGUAGAGAUGGAGGCUUUUGAGUUUAGACUUGAAGAUAAAAGGUUUCCUCCGCAGCAACUUGAGAUGGGUAUAAUUGAGUGGUUAAAUUGUUGGAAAUGAGUUGGAGAAUUGCUGGUAAUCAAGGUUUAUGUUGAUAUGGUUGAUAAGAGGUAAUGAUUUCAACAAGACUUUGGAUGCUCCACACUUAUACCCAAAGCACUGUCUGAGCAGAAUCCUGAAACAGAAGUGCAUAAAGAGGGAGGGAAAAAAGGAGAGCAGAUCCUAGAGGCAACUUUGUGGAAGGUCCUCAACUAAAGUAUCAAAUGCCCUGUUUUCUAGGAAAUUGCAACGACUGUGAUUGUGUCUUUGCAUAUUAAUUCACCUGAUUUGUGGUAUAAACCUUAAAUUAGAACUUUACUUAACCCAAAACUAGUAAAGAUUUGGUCUCAAAAACAAA